RNAcentral lists this ribosomal RNA (705 nucleotides) under uncultured bacterium. RNAcentral describes it as "bacterial SSU rRNA". It matches the Rfam family "Bacterial small subunit ribosomal RNA", at positions 1 to 695 of the family's 1533-position model. The record is from RNAcentral.
GNAAUUCGAUUAGAGUUUGAUCAUGGCUCAGAUUGAACGCUGGCGGCGUGCCUAACACAUGCAAGUCGAGCGGUAACAGGUGUAGCAAUACAUGCUGACGAGCGGCGAACGGGUGAGUAAUGCUUCGGAAUCUGCCCAAUGGUGGGGAAUAACCAGCCGAAAGGUUGGCUAAUACCGCAUAAGUCCUACGGGAGAAAGCAGGGGAUCGUAAGACCUUGCGCCGAUGGAUGAGCCGAAGCCGGAUUAGCUAGUUGGUAGGGUAACGGCCUACCAAGGCGACGAUCCGUAGCUGGUCUGAGAGGACGACCAGCCACACUGGGACUGAGACACGGCCCAGACUCCUACGGGAGGCAGCAGUGGGGAAUAUUGGACAAUGGGGGCAACCCUGAUCCAGCGACGCCGCGUGUGUGAAGAAGGCCUGCGGGUUGUAAAGCACUUUUAGUGGGGAUGAAAAGCUCAGGGUUAAUACCUCUGGGUCUUGACCUAACCCAAAGAAAAAGCACCGGCUAACUCUGUGCCAGCAGCCGCGGUAAUACAGAGGGUGCGAGCGUUAAUCGGAAUUACUGGGCGUAAAGCGUGCGUAGACGGUUAUGUAAGUCGGGUGUGAAAGCCCCGGGCUCAACCUGGGAAUUGCAUUCGAGACUGGAUAGCUAGGGUGCGGANGNNNGAAGCGGNNNUUCAGGUGUAGCGGUGAAAUGCGUAGAU